Molecule: non-coding RNA, 29 nt
Filed under: Rattus norvegicus (Norway rat)
Lineage: Eukaryota; Metazoa; Chordata; Mammalia; Rodentia; Muridae
Source: RNAcentral
UGAUGGCUUUCUGUAUUGAGGCCUGAGCU